GGAAACUGCCUGAUGGAGGGGGAUAACUACUGGAAACGGUAGCUAAUACCGCAUAACGUCGCAAGACCAAAGAGGGGGACCUUCGGGCCUCUUGCCAUCGGAUGUGCCCAGAUGGGAUUAGCUAGUAGGUGGGGUAACGGCUCACCUAGGCGACGAUCCCUAGCUGGUCUGAGAGGAUGACCAGCCACACUGGAACUGAGACACGGUCCAGACUCCUACGGGAGGCAGCAGUGGGGAAUAUUGCACAAUGGGCGCAAGCCUGAUGCAGCCAUGCCGCGUGUAUGAAGAAGGCCUUCGGGUUGUAAAGUACUUUCAGCGGGGAGGAAGGGAGUAAAGUUAAUACCUUUGCUCAUUGACGUUACCCGCAGAAGAAGCACCGGCUAACUCCGUGCCAGCAGCCGCGGUAAU
Molecule: ribosomal RNA, 408 nt
Filed under: Escherichia coli
Lineage: Bacteria; Pseudomonadati; Pseudomonadota; Gammaproteobacteria; Enterobacterales; Enterobacteriaceae
Description: bacterial SSU rRNA
Rfam family: Bacterial small subunit ribosomal RNA
Source: RNAcentral